Molecule: small nuclear RNA, 115 nt
Filed under: Ochotona princeps (American pika)
Lineage: Eukaryota; Metazoa; Chordata; Mammalia; Lagomorpha; Ochotonidae
Source: RNAcentral
GUGCUUGUCUUUCGCUGCCUGGAAAUGAGAAGCACACAUGCUGAAACAGGAAUGAUACAGAGAAGGUUACAUGGCCCCUGCACAAGGAUGAAACAGAAAGCAAAACUAAAUUCAG